RNAcentral lists this long non-coding RNA (4769 nucleotides) under Equus caballus (horse). Its description in RNAcentral is "lncRNA (ENSECAG00000058886.1)". Lineage: Eukaryota; Metazoa; Chordata; Mammalia; Perissodactyla; Equidae. The record is from RNAcentral.
CUUGGUUCAAUUUAUUCCUAAGUGUUUUGCUGUUUUUGCUGCUAUUGUAAAUGAAAUUGAUUUCUUUUUCUUUUUCAGAUAUUUCUUUGUUAGUGUGUAGAAACACAACUGGUUUGUGUAUGUUGAUUUUGUAUCCUGAAACUUCACUGAAUUUGUUGAGUAGUUCUAACAGUUUCUUUGGUGCAGUCUUAGGAUUUUCUAUAUAUAAGAUAUCAUCUGCAAGGAAAGACCAUUUUUCUCUUCCCUAUUUGAUUUGGAUGACUUUUAUCUUUUUCCUGCCUAGUUUUUCUGGCUAAGACAUCUAGUACUAUGUUUAAUAGGUGUGGUGAGAGUGGGUACCCUUGUCUGGUUCUUGAUCUUAGAGGAAAAUCUUUCAAACUUUUGCCAUUGGUAUGAUGUGGGCUUGUCAUACAUGGCCUUUGUUAUGUUGUUGUAUGUUCCUUCUAUACCAAAUUUGUUGAGCAUUUUUAUAACGAAAAGAUGUUGUAUUUUGUCAAAUGCUUUUCCUGCAUCUAUUGAGAUGACCAUAUGAUUUUUUUUCCUUUCAUUCUACUUGAAGAAGCAGUCACUUCUUCCAGACUUUUGGGCUGACUUUGGUAAGGAAAGACCCUCACUUGCAGGUGGGGGCAGGCUGAAGUGUAGUGUGACCCUGGGUCUAGUCAUGUAGGGUGCCAAGUACAGGGAUGUGUGGUGACUCCCAGCCCAGGAGAGUGAUGUCUUGUUGGUUCAGGCUGCUUGGGUCCGCAACAUUGACAACUGUGUGGUCCUUGUCAAGUGUUGUGGGGCUCUGCAGUGGCUGCAAGGGCUGUGGCGUCCUCAGUGCCACCUCUAAGUCCAGUGGCUGGGGACCAGGGUGGGCAGUGGUAGUGGCCACAGCAUGAAGAAUGCAUGCACUUGGCUGUGGAGGCCAGCUGCAGCUGCUUUGUAGUGGCAGGGGCUGGUUGUAGCCCCAUGUGUACUAAUGGGGGCCAGGGCCAGCAGAAGAGACCAGGGUCAACUCUGGGUGCACUAGUAGCUGCCGUGGCCCUGGCUGUUGGUGUGUACUCCUGCAGUGCAGGGUCUCCCUGCAGGCACACACACGGCAGUGGAGGGUGGUGACAAGGCUCAGGUUGGGGGUAUGCAGGUGCACUGCUGGGGAGUCUGUUGUAGAUGCACGCAGUGGUACAGGCCAGCAACUGGAGAUAAGGCCAAAUCUAGGCCCACAAGCAGCUGUGAGUGCCUUGGUUGUUGGUGUGCACUUCUGUCGCUACAAGAUCUCACCACAGGCACACACACAGAAGUAGCGACUGGCGACAUGAGUCAGACUGGUGAUGUGCAAGUGCACAGCUGGAGGGGCUAGCCCCAAGUGUGCGCACAGUGGUGGGGGUCAGUUAUGGGUGUCUAGGCUGGUGUCUUGCAUUCAUGCAGAUGCAGGGGCCUGGGCUGGCUGUCAGCAUGGAUCCUAGGCUCCUACAAGGCCUUGGGGAAGGGAGCCAGGACCCACUCAGGUGGUUGGUGCAUACCUAUGGAGUGAAAACCAGUGAAAUUUUCAGGGGACCCGCAGCAGCUGCAGUGGCCAUUGGUUUUUUCAGUGGUGAAAGCUGCUGGGGUCCUCUGCACAGAAGGGCAUUAGGAAUCGCAGUUGCUCCCACUGUGUGGCUGAUACCUGUAGCCCAUGCUGUUCUUCCUUGUUCUCAGCCAUUUCUAUACAUCUCGUUUUUGCUGGUCUCCAGUGGGGUAAAACCAAAAUGGGUCCUUUGUUCAGUGCUCCGAAAGGCUGGGAAGCUGGUCACUCACUCUGCUCUCCCUUUCCAGGAGGGGAACUUUUUCUAGCUGGGGAGCUCCCUUUCAGCACUGAGCAGUGCCAGCCUGGGGGAUGGCAUGAGGCAGACAAAACAAAGCUGUUCUUCCUUCCCUUUCUGUGCAGUUUUUCUCGGGCUUUUUGUUCCACUGUGUUGUUGAAGUUUUUUAAGUUGACUCUGGGGCUUUCUUCGAGCUGUUUUUGGUCAUGGAUAGCUGUCUAAUUGCUGAUCAUUGUUGGGGGAUAGAGGCUGGGGUCUCCUACUUCACCAUUUUUGUGACAUCUCUCCAGAAUGAUUUCUAUGAUCCCUUUUACUUUAGGACUUAAGAGCCAUAAUGAGGAUUCUGCAAUUUCUUGGAAAGUUAUGCUGUUGAUUUCUCAAAGAAAGUUGUCGCUAAUACUGAUGAUAAAUGAAAGUUUUGUAAAACAAUUUAACUGGAGACAAAUAUUCCCAAUCUACUUAUGCAAAGAGCCAGAGAUAAUAAUUGAGUAAGUUGCAGAAUUUGGAUGAAACUGAAAUAAUGAAACUAUUUAUUGGCUGCAGCUCGUUACACAGGUCCUAGAAAUACUGUCCUAUCACUACAUGCUUGUGAGAAAAUGCUAAAGGGGCUUGGAUGUAUUAAAUUCUACAUUCUUAAAAUGGGUUCCCAUGGUGGUUAUAUGGUGACAAGUUGACAUGGUAGAAUGAAGAGAUAAAACUAGCUGGUGAAGGGUUGUACCUUCAUAGUCCAAUUUAAUUAUAGAAAACAAACGCACAGAUGGUUUUCAAUAACAUAAAUAAAAUUCUAGCAUUUUAUCUUGCGGCAUUUAUGAAUGAAAUAAAGGACCACUCGUUUUCCAUCCUUUCUUAGUUUCUUUGAUUCUAGGGUCUGUGCUUUUUCUCCAUGUACCAAAUGUCUCCCUAGGAGAUUCCCAUAUUAGGACAUCUACUGUGGUGGUCAUUUCUGCCUUAGCAAGGAUAAGUUGGUCAUAUUAACUAGCUGAGAAAACAGACAGUGGGCUAUCAUGUGACAGUUGACAGGUAAGUCUUGCUAAGAAGCAGGCAUGUGGGAUACAGACAUAAAAUAGAUUUUUGGGAAACAUAGUGGAGCAAAAUUUGAAAUUUGCCUUUCAGUACAACCUCCUUUUUCUUAAAACAUUCUCCUUUCCACAGUCACCACACUCUGGAAUCUCAUGCUGCUUAAUUUAUGAUCAAUUCAUUUAUACAAAUGUGUAACAAUACAUUUUCCUUCCUAAAAGCAUUUGCGCCUUUAAAAAAAUGCUAUUUUGUUUAACUCAAGAAAUGCAUUGCUAAUAGGGACAGUCAAGGCUAUGGGGAAAGAGUCAUUUGAAGGAGGUUUGGGGAAAGCCAGCGAUAGAAACUUCACCUGGACUUCCUGGACAGGUAGAAGGAAGUUCAAAGGGACAGGGAAGCUGUGUGUACUGAGGGGAGAGUCGAUGGUAAGAACUGAAAAGAUAAAAAUGCUGACCAUCACCAAUGGAUGCAAGUCACGGAGAAGGUAAACUAGGGUGAUGGUGUUGGAAGGAUAAAAUUGGCUUUAGUUCUGGAGAUUGUCUGAUAACUCUUAUCUUCAAACUUUUGAAGGACAAAGUCAGCUCCUUCCCAUUUUGUGAUGCACAGCUUGGGUUCAAGAGAGGACCCAUUCCAGGCCAGGAGCAGAUCCACGAGGCCUUGUGAGAAGAGGCCAGGCUUCCCCGGAAUUCAGUCUUCUCUUCUAGGUCUUUAGUCUUGGCAUAUUUCAACCAACGUACGUUCCAUGAAUAUUCUAUUCAUGAACAUUUUUAAAACUUUUCUUUUGUGGAAAAGUUUCAAACGUACACAAAAGUAGAGAGAACAGUAUAAUGAACCGCAUGUACCAGCUUCACCCAAUUUCAACAAUUAUUAAUAUUUCUUGGACUUAUUUCCUGUAAUCCCACAUAAUACUCCCCUCAUUCCCUUUUACGCUAAAGUACUGUGAAGCAAAUCCCAGACAGCAUGUCAUUUUACCUGUAAAUACUUCAGUAAAAUCAUGGCCAUCUUAAUUUAAUAAUCAUAGAUAGAGGAAGGAGAAUAAAAUAGAUUAUUAUAGUUUACAUUUAUUAGUUCUACUGUGUUCAGAACUCUGUGCUAAGCAUUUUUGCAUUGCAUUAUUUUAUGUCAUUCUUUCACUCUUCCAGUCACUAGGCAUAACUGUUCUCACUUUUCUGAAGGGGAAACUGAAGCACUGAGAGGUGUAGUAAAUUGCCAAAGGCCACACAGCUAGGAGGCGAGGCAACUGGGAUUCAAAUGUUCUUUGUCUGCUCUGCAACUUGUGCCCUUGACCACUAUAUACAAAUGUUUCACCACUACAACAUCUGGUCUUAUGAAAAUAGACCCACGAGGAACAUCUUUGCAUGGGUGAAAGAACUGCUUUGCAUAAAACUAUUUGUUCUAUUGCUUAGGGCCUUAUAUAAAUUCCUCGUUGAUUGAGCAUGUUUGGGCAGAAGGCGUCUUGGCGUCAGAGUCAUGCGUCUUUAGAUUGGCACAUUGUUCUGUCACAUUAUGGUUGUGAGACUUUGGGAAAGAAGAAUUGACCAGGGGAAUUCAUGUUGUCGGAUUCUGGUACACACACAAUUAUGUUUCUGCCCUUCUUGAAUGGGAAUGAAGCAGCAAUGCCCAAAAUUCUCACCCCAUCCAGACUACUUAAUAUAAGUGCUGAAUGAAGGAACAGAUAGUAAUUGCUAAAUCCAACGUUCAAAUGGAAGCCCAUCCUGUAACAAAAGCUGCGCUGUUCCUGUUCAUCAAUCCAUGGGACCGUGGAGAAAGGAGAAUGUGCUGGGAGCCCUGCCUAAUGAAAUACGCCAAUGAUGUGUUCUUCAGCACAGGAGUGAUAUAUCAGGGGGCACAGGAUGAACCAGUUUUUACUUUGAUUUUGGAAAGAGAGUUGGCUUUGAUAAUUUAUACAAACAAUUUUCUCUUUAUACCACAUAUCAUCUUUUAUUGAAUAACAGGAAAUAAAAAUGAAAUGGC